Molecule: ribosomal RNA, 310 nt
Filed under: uncultured Isochrysis
Lineage: Eukaryota; Haptophyta; Isochrysidales
Description: partial Bacterial small subunit ribosomal RNA
Rfam family: Bacterial small subunit ribosomal RNA
Source: RNAcentral
CUCGACGGUACCGACAGAAUAAGCACCGGCUAACUCUGUGCCAGCAGCCGCGGUAAUACAGAGGGUGCGAGCGUUAAUCGGAAUUACUGGGCGUAAAGCGUGCGCAGGCGGUUAUAUAAGACAGAUGUGAAAUCCCCGGGCUCAACCUGGGAACUGCAUUUGUGACUGUAUAGCUAGAGUACGGCAGAGGGGGAUGGAAUUCCGCGUGUAGCAGUGAAAUGCGUAGAUAUGCGGAGGAACACCGAUGGCGAAGGCAAUCCCCUGGGCCUGUACUGACGCUCAUGCACGAAAGCGUGGGGAGCAAACAGGA